UGGGGAAUAUUGGACAAUGGGGGCAACCCUGAUCCAGCAAUGCCGCGUGUGUGAAGAAGGUCUUCGGAUUGUAAAGCACUUUCGACGGGGACGACGAUGACGGUACCCGUAGAAGAAGCCCCGGCUAACUUCGUGCCAGCAGCCGCGGUAAUACGAAGGGGGCUAGCGUUGCUCGGAAUGACUGGGCGUAAAGGGCGUGUAGGCGGUUUACACAGUCAGAUGUGAAAUCCCCGGGCUUAACCUGGGAGCUGCAUUUGAUACGUGUAGACUAGAGUGUGAGAGAGGGUUGUGGAAUUCCCAGUGUAGAGGUGAAAUUCGUAGAUAUUGGGAAGAACACCGGUGGCGAAGGCGGCAACCUGGCUCAUGACUGACGCUGAGGCGCGAAAGCGUGGGGAGCAAACAGGAUUAGG
RNAcentral lists this ribosomal RNA (410 nucleotides) under uncultured bacterium. RNAcentral describes it as "partial 16S ribosomal RNA". It matches the Rfam family "Bacterial small subunit ribosomal RNA", at positions 355 to 782 of the family's 1533-position model. The record is from RNAcentral.